Molecule: long non-coding RNA, 1641 nt
Filed under: Nicotiana benthamiana
Lineage: Eukaryota; Viridiplantae; Streptophyta; Magnoliopsida; Solanales; Solanaceae
Description: long non-coding RNA (NBEN_LNC033654)
Source: RNAcentral
UACAAUCUAAAAAAACAAAAGAGGGACUGAAUGCAAACUAAUUUUCAGCAAAAAUGCCCUAGUCCAUACCUAUAAAAGGCAUGCUAAAACCUGCCUUUAGGGGACUGAAAAAAAGGGAUAGGAAAUACGGAAUCAUUGGCGGCUGUAAAUUGACCAGGAAUUCUGACUGUCCUAUUGAAUUCUUAUUCUAAGGUGUAGGCUUGUUAUUCCAAAAGGAAAAAUCUAGUUCAAUUUUGAAAGAAUAGAUGGUGGAGUUUGAGUUUGAAAUGUUUGAUUCUUGAGAACUCGUUGGGUCAGCUGUCUGUGUGAAAUUGUUUUCCGGGCUGUAUUACCAUGUUUUUGAGUUCAAAUAAAUCCUUCUGCUAUCUAUUCUAUUAUUGUUGGAUUUGAGUCUAUGUGACUGGUUUUUGUUGCUGAUUCUGCUGUCUAUUUGCUGAUCAAUCACUCUUGCUUCUUUCCAUCUUCCAGGUAUUUUCCCUAGCUCAUAGUGGGAGACCAAUUGUUCAACUUGUAACAGUUGAAUGUGCUGAAAUGAAGACUGAGUUCAUGUUGACGUAUUCGUUUUACUCCCUUCUUGUUUUUAGUAUCUAGAUCUAGAAUUACUGAUGUGUAAGAGACUCCUAUAGAAUUUUCAUGGUGUGUAUUAAACUAAAAUUGGAAACCAUGGUUGUUAUGGUCUUGUUGCUUGUUAGCAUUUAGCUUUAGUACUUCUUAUCAGCAUGCAUAAAAUUAACAUCCAUACAGCAAUUUGAUUAGGAUUUAAUGUUAAGCUGUGUGUUUUAAAGAAUAUGGGAAUAAUCAGUAGCUUAAUUUAUAAGGGUGAUUUUUCUGGUCAUGCAUCUUCAUUAUUGCUAUCCCGUUGUAAAUAUUAGCUUAACUUCAUGGUUAUGGGUGUAACAUAUUAACACUGUGAUGAACUGAUUUUAAGAGGGUUAUUAGUUUAAUUGUUUUUGCAUUUUUAGUUUCGGACUUUCACUCUUGCAAUUUGCUCGUCAUGGUGUUAUGAAGAGGUGAAAUUAGUUUUAGAUACAUGUGGGAUGAGCAGCAAGUUUGAGCUAAGGAUGGAAAUGAUCUUUGCUCGAAUAUGGGCACAUUUUCAAGCCCAGGCAUCGACUAAAUGAAUUUGAAGGAAUUCUUUGCCUAAUGUGGGUCAAAAGGUCUAAAUCUGAAGAUAUAACUCUCACUUGCAUAUUCAUGGGUUGGCGUCAAUUUGCACUUAUAUUACUAUAGUUUGGACUAUUACCAUUGGAUCCGAACAACUUGGAUCGCAAGAACUAGGCCCAACGCUGGCCCAAUCACACCCAAACCCAGUUGUUAUUCACACUCAUAUUGGUCCACGAUGAUUGAUGUUAUUUGGAUGUCGUUAGCUCUGGGCCUUUGCUCCUUAUACCAUUUUGUAAUUUUACUGGUGUUGAUUCACAGGGUUUAACAUAUUUUGUUUGUUUAGGAAGCAAUACCAAUCCCUACAAAGUUUUAUUCAUUUAGCUGAGUCUCUUUAGUUGAUUAUGGAAUUGACUCAAUCAGAUAAUAAUAGUUUCUAGGUUCCUCUAAUUCCUUAAAAAUAAAUUGAGGUGCACUACUUAGCGAGUUUUCGUGGCCCUCGCAAACUUAAACAUACGAAAUUGCUUUAGGCCUCUUAGU